GACGAACGCUGGCGGCGUGCUUAACACAUGCAAGUCGAACGGAAAGGCCCUGCUUUUGUGGGGUGCUCGAGUGGCGAACGGGUGAGUAACACGUGAGUAACCUGCCCUUGACUUUGGGAUAACUUCAGGAAACUGGGGCUAAUACCGGAUAGGAGCUCCUGCUGCAUGGUGGGGGUUGGAAAGUUUCGGCGGUUGGGGAUGGACUCGCGGCUUAUCAGCUUGUUGGUGGGGUAGUGGCUUACCAAGGCUUUGACGGGUAGCCGGCCUGAGAGGGUGACCGGCCACAUUGGGACUGGAAUACGGCCCAGACUCCAACGGGAGGCAGCAGUGGGGAAUAUUGCACAAUGGGCGGAAGCCUGAUGCAGCAACGCCGCGUGCGGGAUGACGGCCUUCGGGUUGUAAACCGCUUUCGCCUGUGACGAAGCGUGAGUGACGGUAAUGGGUAAAGAAGCACCGGCUAACUACGUG
This 468-nucleotide ribosomal RNA is filed under the name uncultured bacterium. RNAcentral's name for it is "partial 16S ribosomal RNA". It matches the Rfam family "Bacterial small subunit ribosomal RNA", at positions 28 to 507 of the family's 1533-position model. The record is from RNAcentral.